RNAcentral lists this long non-coding RNA (1014 nucleotides) under Homo sapiens (human). RNAcentral's name for it is "HSALNT0125126". Lineage: Eukaryota; Metazoa; Chordata; Mammalia; Primates; Hominidae. The record is from RNAcentral.
CAUUUAUUAAUAUGGAGUGUUAUUUACUCAAACUAGGGCUCUCAUAGGCGUUGAGUGGAUAGAUAGUUUUGUGUGUGCUAGAUACAUCAGUUUACUUGAAAAGAUUGGAAAUAAAUAACAGGAAAUUGGUUGGUGCUUAGAUAAUUAUUGGAAAGCAAAAAAUAAAACUAAGCUAGGAAAAUAAUAAGAAUCCUUUAUUCUCUGCUUCCACUCAGGGUGAAUCAGGACCAGUGCAAUAAAUCACCCUCAAUACUUCCUGUGAAUGGCAACUGCUGAAGGGAAGCUUCUGCCUCUCAUCAUACACUGCCUCAGGGGGGAACAAAAUAGAUCAUUACAAUGGAGGCCAAAGAGUGCUUGAAUGUCUCUGCCGAAGGCUUUCAAUAAAUAUUUGUUGAAAAAGAAAGGAAGAAAGAAAAUGAAGAAGGAACGAAGGAGGAAAGGAAAGAAGGAAAGAAGGAAGGAAGGAGUUAAUGAAGACUCAAGGAUGUUCUGCUCUGAUUGGCAGGGAGAGUUUGAAGGUGGGUUGGCAGAGACUGUGACCGCAACUGACUGCGUUCUGCAGAAUUAUGGUAAUGAAAUUGGAAGCCAACUUUCGUGAAGCAGAAAGCCUCAAGUUUCCAGGUGCUGUGCUCAGUCCAGGAAUACAAUGAUGAAUACGAUCAAGGCCCUUUCAGAGCUGACACACACUAUACAUAAUGCAUCAAAAAUUGCGUUCUCGCUAUAUUUCUGUUUAUUUGGUUUUAUCUGCAAGAAUAUAGAUAGCAUCUGCUUUGAUAUAAAACUUUUAUGUGUCUUAUGUAGUUGAUUUGUAAAUGUCCUAUCUAUAAAUAUAAAACAAUAAAUUACUAGUUACAGUUAACUUAGGAAAACUUUUAAUCAUGUCCUACAUUUUACACCUUGUAAUUUCUACCAAAUGUUUGUAUUUUUAUGUCUUAUUAAAUAUAAUAAAUAUUUGUCUUAACAUAUUUUAAUAGAAUUCCUCAUAUGUUUUGCAGAAAGCUAAUUAUGGUUUUC